This 216-nucleotide ribosomal RNA is filed under the name Glomeromycotina sp. Its description in RNAcentral is "partial small subunit ribosomal RNA". The stretch from base 40 to 216 matches the Rfam family "Eukaryotic small subunit ribosomal RNA", at positions 686 to 864 of the family's 1831-position model. The record is from RNAcentral. Lineage: Eukaryota; Fungi; Glomeromycota.
GGGUCAGUAGGUUGGUCGUGCCACCGGUACGUACUGGUCUCACUGAUUCCUCCUUCCUGAAGAACCGUAAUGCCAUUAAUUUGGUGUUACGGGGAAACGGGACUGUUACUUUGAAAAAAUUAGAGUGUUUAAAGCAAGCUAACGCUUGAAUACAUUAGCAUGGAAUAAUGAAAUAGGACGAUCGAUCCUAUUUUGUUGGUUUCUAGGAUUGACGUA